AACGCACAUUGCGCCCCUUGGUAUUCCGGGGGGCAUGCCUGUUCGAGCGUCAUUUCAACCCUCACGCGUAGCGUGGUCUUGGGCUCUGCCGGCGACGGCUUGCCUUAAAAUCAGUGGCGGUGCCAUCGAGCUCUACGCGUAGUAAUAAAACCCCUCGCGUGUGAGUCCCGGUGGACGCUGGCCAGCAACCCCCAAUUUUUUAUGGUUGACCUCGAAUCAGGUAGGGAUACCCGCUGAACUUAA
This 243-nucleotide unclassified non-coding RNA is filed under the name uncultured Calycellina. RNAcentral's name for it is "partial contains 5.8S ribosomal RNA, internal transcribed spacer 2, and large subunit ribosomal RNA". The record is from RNAcentral. Lineage: Eukaryota; Fungi; Ascomycota; Leotiomycetes; Helotiales; Hyaloscyphaceae.